RNAcentral lists this ribosomal RNA (914 nucleotides) under uncultured beta proteobacterium. Its description in RNAcentral is "bacterial SSU rRNA". It matches the Rfam family "Bacterial small subunit ribosomal RNA", at positions 8 to 916 of the family's 1533-position model. The record is from RNAcentral. Lineage: Bacteria; Pseudomonadati; Pseudomonadota; Betaproteobacteria.
AGAGUUUGAUCCUGGCUCAGAUUGAACGCUGGCGGCAUGCCUUACACAUGCAAGUCGAACGGUAACAGGGAGCUUGCUCCGCUGACGAGUGGCGAACGGGUGAGUAAAGUAUCGGAACGUACCUUUCAGUGGGGGAUAACGUAGCGAAAGUUACGCUAAUACCGCAUAUUCUGUGAGCAGGAAAGCAGGGGAUCGCAAGACCUUGCGCUGAUUGAGCGGCCGAUAUCAGAUUAGCUAGUUGGUGAGGUAAAGGCUCACCAAGGCGACGAUCUGUAGCGGGUCUGAGAGGAUGAUCCGCCACACUGGAACUGAGACACGGUCCAGACUCCUACGGGAGGCAGCAGUGGGGAAUUUUGGAUAAUGGGGGCAACCCUGAUCCAGCCAUGCCGCGUGAGUGAAGAAGGCCUUCGGGUUGUAAAGCUCUUUCGGCCGGGAAGAAAUCGCAUGGGUUAAUACCCUGUGCGGAUGACGGUACCGGCAUAAGAAGCACCGGCUAACUACGUGCCAGCAGCCGCGGUAAUACGUAGGGUGCGAGCGUUAAUCGGAAUUACUGGGCGUAAAGCGUGCGCAGGCGGUUUUGUAAGACAGGCGUGAAAUCCCCGGGCUCAACCUGGGAACUGCGCUUGUGACUGCAAGGCUAGAGUAUGGCAGAGGGGGGUGGAAUUCCACGUGUAGCAGUGAAAUGCGUAGAGAUGUGGAGGAACACCAAUGGCGAAGGCAGCCCCCUGGGCCAAUACUGACGCUCAUGCACGAAAGCGUGGGUAGCAAACAGGAUUAGAUACCCUGGUAGUCCACGCCCUAAACGAUGUCAACUAGGUGUUGGGUGGGUAAAACCAUUUAGUACCGGAGCUAACGCGUGAAGUUGACCGCCUGGGGAGUACGGCCGCAAGGUUAAAACUCAAAGGAAUUGACGG